Raphanus sativus (radish) is the source of this 529-nucleotide RNA transcript. RefSeq lists it as uncharacterized. The transcript has 2 exons. NCBI's taxonomy places the organism in Eukaryota, Viridiplantae, Streptophyta, Magnoliopsida, Brassicales, Brassicaceae. The record is from RefSeq and is a predicted model, not a curated record.
UGUAACUUUUUUUUACAAGUAGUGUUUGGUGUCUGUAACAUGAGCAGAUAACAGUAGUGAUGAAGAUAUAUUGGGGAGAUCCUCGUGAGAAGAUUUGCGAAGCUGUUGAACAUAUUCCUCUCUCUAGCCUUGUCAUCGGUAACCGAGGCCUUGGUGGUCUUAAGAGGAUGAUAAUGGGAAGUGUAAGCAACCAUGUUGUGAACAACGUGGCAUGCCCUGUGACCGUCGUGAAGGCUCACCACUGAGCUCUGUGUUGAUACUGCUCCGGAGAAGCUGAUAGCCUACCGGUGUAUAUCCUAAGAUUUGUGUGUCGUUGUGUCGUUGUGUCUUAAUAUGUAUUUAUAACUCUUGUGUCACUUGUAUGUUGUUUAUCUUGAGCAUCUUUGUCUUUUCACUGGGUAAAAGUAUUUCUACCUUCUAAUAAUAAUUACUCGUUUUGAGUUUUGGACCAAGCUGAUUUGCUCUUUUCAACCAUGUCAAUGAUUUUUUUUUUAAUCUCGAUUUCUUAUUAAUUAAAAGUGUACAACAA